UCUCCCUGAGGAGCAGGAGGGUGCGCUCAGAGCCACUUCCCACCGGCCACUCCCGACCCCUGUCGCCACACAGGGGUGAGCUGGCAAAGCCUCUUCACACAAGAAAACACCAGGGGACUAUCGCCAAGGCACUGGGGGGCCUCAUUGUGACAUCCCAUCCCCCCAACCAUGACCCAAAGCCCACCCAUGCGCCUCCAAGGCAGAAGCUCGGUGGGGGAGCACAGGCACGAAUCUCACUGCCAGCCUCACAGAAAGGUCAGAAGUGGCAGGCGCUGAGGCCAUCAGGCGGGUCUUGGUGCCCUGGGGCACUUCUGGUUGUUGUUGUCAUGAUAACUGGGGACGGUGGAGGCUGCUCCUGGCAUUGGCGGGUAGGAGCUGGGAUGCCAAAUGAUGGUCCUACCUAAUGAAGACCUGCUCCACCCCAAAUUUGAAGAUGCCCUUGUUGAGAAACACCGACUGGUCCCUCGUCAUCUGGAUCCAGAGCUGAAGAGGGACAAGCUUGGGGUGUCUGACCAAAGCCAUGGCCCUAGGUGUUCCUGGGGAGCCGGGAAGGUGGGCCAGGUGCUGUGCUCACCAGAGGGCCAGAGUGUGCGGUACCUCCCGCCUGUCCCUGUCCCUGCCCUGCAGGCUGAGGGCGCCAGGCUGCUGUCUGGCUACGGGCAGGGCCGGGCUGGGGUAGUUCUGCUUCCUGCCUCAGCGGUGCAGGCGGCCACCUCCCUCCCAAGACAGGCUGACCUUCCCCACCACGUAGAGCAUGCUGGUGUCUGCGUCGUAGAAGGGAAACAGCACGCCCGAGGAGCCGUCCAGGUCCUCCUCUGAGAGAGGCACGGAGAGGUUGUCCUGUAAGGGAAGGGAAGUCAGAAAGGCCUGUGGGUCGCUCCUGGGGAGGGUGGAGAUGAGAAUCUGUCAAGGGGCUCUGGAUGUGUGUGUGUAUAUGUGUGUGUGUGUGUGUGUGUGUGUGUGUGUGUGUGUGUAUGUGCGCGCGCACGAGAGAGAGAGAGAGAGAGAGAGAGAGAGAGAGAGAGAGACCACCCCUUUUCUUUUGCCGGCAUUUUGCCUUUCACAGAUCGCUUCUCACAUGCCUGAUCACACACCAGUCCUCCCCUGCUUGUUUUAUGAUUUGUUGUGAAAGAUGAUGGAGAUAUAGAGAGAGAAAGUGAUUUGUCUAGUCUUUGAAACUCUAGCCAAGUGAUCCUUCCAAUCAAUACUGCUUGGCCUGGCCCUCACCCUCACCCCCCUCAGCUGCUCCUUCUGCCCACAUGCCUUGGUGUUUCCUUCCAAGCCCUUGCUCCAGCUGUUUCCUCUGCCCAGAAGGUCAUCUCCUUUCUCUCCCCCCAGCCCCUGCCCUGUCCUGGUCCCAGAAGUGGCCACCUCCCUCCACCCCCUACACCACGGCCACUGUCUCCUUGAACGAGAAGAUGCACAAGGUCUGGGCUCGCCCCACCAGCUGCUGGCAUCUCCCUGUUAUUCAUCCCUGGGUCCUUCACACCAGGCAGGCUGUGCUAAGUUCCAGACCAUCACCUGUACGGCAAUGAGCUGGCUCUGAGCACAGUGUUGCCCCGCCCCUGGCUCCCACAGUCGCGAGCCCGCCAGGCUGCAGUGAAACAUGGUAUCCCCAGGAGGGAAGACACAGAUGGCAGUCUGGCCAAGAAGCCUUGGGUGGGAGGAUGGAUCUGCCGGCUGAAGCUGCCACGUGGCAAAAGGGGAAGCCGGGAGUCAGGCUGUCUGGUGGUGAAAAGAAAACACCAUCUGCUUUGGAGCAACAAAACAUCCAUGGCUGGAGGACCGCAGGGGAUGAGCUAGACCAGGGGGUUUCAAACAGUUAUUAGUAGCAGUUUCCACCUCACACAGAUAAACAGGACUGCCAUGUUUAGCUGCAUAGGUUGUGCACUGCACAGCUCCAGGGCAAUCCAUUCUCAUAGCCCAUGGUAUGAAUUGCACCCCCUGGAGCUGUGUGCAGAAUAAUGUGCACAAUCAUCGCAGCACCCUGCACACUCACCCUACAUAAACAGAAAAAAGAGCACUUCUGAUCAGGAGGGAAGAGACCCUGGGGCACCUGGGUGGCUCAGUCAGUUAACUGUCCGACUUCGGCUCAGGUCAUGAUCUCCGUGGUUCGUGGGUUUGAGCCCCGCAUCAGGCACUGUGCUGACAGCUCAGAGCCUGGAGCCUGCUUCGGAUUCUGUGUCUCCCUCUCUCUCUGCCCCUCCCCUGCUUGCUGUCUGUCUCUCUGUCUCAAAAAUAAAAAUAAACAUUAAAAAAUUUAAAGAAAACAAGAAGGGAAGAGGCCCUGCCAGCCACUCCUAUCCCACCCUUUCUUCAUCACAGAAGCCCCCGAAGUGCCUCUGUGAAGCCCCAUGUCGUGAAGGGAUGAGUUUAAAAGCCAUGACUAUGGUCACACCAACUCCAUUUGCGUACAGAUAGAGAAACUGAGGCCUAGAGAAGACAAGGGACUUUCCCAGUUCAUACUGCAAGGCAGAAACUUAGUUGGAAUAGAAUCUAGGGCUCCUAUCCUGUGAAUUUUCCCAAUCCACAGGCCCACAGACUUCCAGCUUGGCCGUCAACGGGGCAAUGGGAAGCUUCUCUGGCCAGGGCCCAGCCCAACCCAUCCCCUCCGGGCAGAUUAAUGGGUUGAACAGUGUACUCCCCACCCCCCCAAACCCCAAAUUCAGGUCCACCUGGAGCCUCAGAAUGUGACUUUAUUAGGAAACAGGAUCUUUGCAGAUGUAAUUAAUUAUGAUAAGGUCAUACCAGAUUAGCAUGGGCCCUACAACCAAUGACUGGUGUCAUUAUAAAAAGAGCAAAGGACACACAGAAACACAGAGAAGGCCAUGUAAAGCUGGAGGCAGGCUGAAGUGAUACAGCUCCAGGCCAAGGAAUGUGUGGAGCCACCAGAAGUCCCAAGAGGCAUGGGAGGAUUCUUCCCUAAGAUCUUAGGACAGAGCGUGGCCCUCCUGAUGCCUUGAUAUCAGAUUUCUGGUCUCCAGAACAAUGUAAAAAUAAAGUUCUGUUGUCUUAA
Long non-coding RNA from Felis catus (domestic cat), 3016 nucleotides. RefSeq lists it as uncharacterized. The record is from RefSeq and is a predicted model, not a curated record. NCBI's taxonomy places the organism in Eukaryota, Metazoa, Chordata, Mammalia, Carnivora, Felidae. The transcript has 2 exons.